RNAcentral lists this ribosomal RNA (120 nucleotides) under Castor canadensis (American beaver). The record is from RNAcentral. Lineage: Eukaryota; Metazoa; Chordata; Mammalia; Rodentia; Castoridae.
UAUGGCUGUACCACCCUAAACAAGCCCAAUCUUGUCUGGUCUCAGAAGCUAAGCAGGGUCAGACCUGGUUAGUACUUGGAUGGGAAAAAGAUCUUCAGGGGAGACUGCUCAGAGACAAGC